This is a non-coding RNA of Phoenix dactylifera (date palm), 99 nucleotides long. The record is from RefSeq and is a predicted model, not a curated record. NCBI's taxonomy places the organism in Eukaryota, Viridiplantae, Streptophyta, Magnoliopsida, Arecales, Arecaceae.
UCUUUGUGUUUGAAUGAUUCAAAUCAGAAAUAUUUCUCAAUGAGUAUUCUUGUACUAAGAAUAAGAGGGAGAAGUUGAUGUUUGUUCCUGAAGUAAAAA